GAUGAACGCUGGCGGCGUGCUUAACACAUGCAAGUCGAACGAAGCAUUUGCGACAGAUUUUUUCGGAAUGAAGUUGCUUAUGACUGAGUGGCGGACGGGUGAGUAACGCGUGGGUAACCUGCCUUGUACUGGGGGAUAGCAGCUGGAAACGGCUGGUAAUACCGCAUAAGCGCACAAUGUUGCAUGACAUGGUGUGAAAAACUCCGGUGGUAUAAGAUGGACCCGCGUCUGAUUAGCUAGUUGGUGAGAUAACAGCCCACCAAGGCGACGACCAGUAGCCGACCUGAGAGGGUGACCGGCCACAUUGAGACUGAGACACGGCCCAGACUCCUACGGGAGGCAGCAGUGGGGAAUAUUGCACAAUGGAGGAAACUCUGAUGCAGCGACGCCGCGUGAGUGAAGAAGUAAUUCGUUAUGUAAAGCUCUAUCAGCAGGGAAGAUAGUGACGGUACCUGACUAAGAAGCUCCGGCUAAAUACGUG
This 481-nucleotide ribosomal RNA is filed under the name uncultured bacterium. RNAcentral's name for it is "partial 16S ribosomal RNA". It matches the Rfam family "Bacterial small subunit ribosomal RNA", at positions 28 to 507 of the family's 1533-position model. The record is from RNAcentral.